GACCCAGGACGCCGAGGACGGGAUGACCGUCUGACGUUGGCGGGGCUGAAUCAGGAUGAAGCGUAGCGCGGGCGUCUCGCCCGCGUUUCGCAUUUGGGGCGAACCCUCCGCCACCUCACGCAGGUUACAGCCCCGGCGGCGGCCGGCCCGAUGAAUGCUUUACGGACGUU
RNAcentral lists this unclassified non-coding RNA (170 nucleotides) under plant metagenome. RNAcentral describes it as "partial contains 5.8S ribosomal RNA, internal transcribed spacer 2, and large subunit ribosomal RNA". The record is from RNAcentral.